GGCNUGCANGUCGAACGAAAAACCGGAGCUUGCUCCGGUAGAUGAGUGGCGAAAGGGUGAGUAACGCGUGAGCAACCUGCCUCUGAAUUUGGAAUAACAGUUGGAAACGACUGCUAAUACCGGAUGUGGAUAUAAAUUCGCAUGGAUUUAUAUUUAAAGAUUUAUUGUUCAGAGAUGGGCUCGCGUUUCAUUAGCUAGUUGGUGUGGUAACGGCACACCAAGGCAACGAUGAAUAGCUGGUCUGAGAGGAUGACCAGCCACACUGGGACUGAGACACUGCCCAGACUCCUGCGGGAGGCUGCAGUCGAGAAUCUUCCGCAAUGCGCGAAAGCGUGACGGAGCGAUGCCGCGUGCAUGAUGAAGGCCUUCGGGUUGUAAAAUGCUGUCACUGGGGACGAAAUUUGACGGUACCCAGAGAGGAAGCCACGGCUAACUACGUGCCAGCAGCCGCGGUAAUACGUAGGUGGCGAGCGUUGUUCGGAUUUAUUGGGCGUAAAGGGUCCGUAGGCGGUCUAUCAAGUCUGAUGUGAAAUCUCAGGGCUCAACCCUGAAACUGCAUUGGAAACUAGUAGACUAGAGUAUCGGAGAGGCAAGCGGAAUACCUGGUGUAGCGGUGGAAUGCGUAGAUAUCAGGUAGAACACCGAAAGCGAAGGCAGCUUGCUGGACGAUUACUGACGCUCAGGGACGAAAGCGUGGGGAGCGAACAGGAUUAGAUACCCUGGUAGUCCACGCCGUAAACUUUGUGAACUUGAUGUGGGUCGGCUCAUCCCGAUCCGUGUCGAAGCUAACGCGAUAAGUUCACCGCCUGGGGACUANNGCCGCAAGGCUAAAACUCAAAGGAAUUGACGGGGGCCCGCACAAGCGGNGGANCAUGUGGNUUAAUUCGAGGCAACGCGAANAANNUUACCC
RNAcentral lists this ribosomal RNA (910 nucleotides) under uncultured bacterium. RNAcentral describes it as "bacterial SSU rRNA". It matches the Rfam family "Bacterial small subunit ribosomal RNA", at positions 52 to 976 of the family's 1533-position model. The record is from RNAcentral.